RNAcentral lists this long non-coding RNA (1056 nucleotides) under Heterocephalus glaber (naked mole-rat). Its description in RNAcentral is "lncRNA (ENSHGLG00100050103.1)". Lineage: Eukaryota; Metazoa; Chordata; Mammalia; Rodentia; Bathyergidae. The record is from RNAcentral.
CCCAUAAAUACUGGCCAGCUGUGGACAACUUUCCAGUGGACAUCCCACCUCUGCUGGGUAGGUUUUCCACAAUUCACAAGUUGCUUUUUUCUCACAGGAGCUCCACAUUUCCUUUGCGGUGAUAUACUGCCCACAGGCAGGCUGAUCUCUUUAACAACAGACAAAGCCCUGAAGGAGACCAGGGAACUCCUGCACCUCGGGCUGCUGCCUCAGGAUGAAUGCAGAUCCCCAAUAUGACUGUGCAAAACACAAGAGGCAUCCUCCAAAGGCCCAUAAACAAAGAUAAGGGUUCUACAGUCGGCUUUCACUGGAGCCACACAGGGUUCUCCCUGUCCUCGGGCCUUAGCUCAGCCUGGGCAGUCCUGCUGCUCCUCUCCCGAAGAGAAGAUGGGGACUGAGAGAGACCAACAGCGAGAUCCCCUGGUUCUGUGCUGUGUGUGCAGCUCCCACUCAUCACCUUGUGUGCUUCCCUGCCCUUGAGCCCUGGAGACACAAAUAUAUGCAGCUAAUCACCUCUUUUCAGUCACUCAUUCAUUUAACAAUAGUACAUUUGAUACAUACGUAUGGAGCAUUUGUUUGACAUGUUAGGUCUCCUCCCAUGGCAGGAGAUGGGGAAUGCUGUAAACAUGACUUUGCCAUGGACCUCUAGAACCUUGAGGCCUCCCAAGAGCUUCAGCGGGUGUAUUCACCAGGUUUCCUCACAGGCUAUUUAUGCAGAAAAGAGAGGUUUAUGCCUCUCAGUUUGGGGGGUUCAAAGCCAUGGCAUCUCCAUUGGCUAAUAUAGUAUAAAAACUACAAUGAAAGUGUGGGUUGCAGUUAAGGGUAAGGGGAGGGCUGGGAAGGAAAAUAAAGCAUAUUAUUACAUGUAUGAAUACGAGGAAACAAACUCAUUAUUCUCUAUCAUGAAUAUGCGCUAAUAAAUUUGUUGGCAGAGUUUCAGAUUCCAUGCUGCAAACAUAAAGAAACGAACCCUGGAAUCUGUGCGUUGUGCUUCUCAGUAAAGAUGAGGGGCCGUUUGGGCAGUGGCGAGUGGUGAUUUCCGUUGUCCGAACUGGG